This 71-nucleotide transfer RNA is filed under the name Pseudomonas aeruginosa. Its description in RNAcentral is "tRNA-Met". It matches the Rfam family "tRNA". From Rfam's summary of the family: Transfer RNA (tRNA) molecules are approximately 80 nucleotides in length. Their secondary structure includes four short double-helical elements and three loops (D, anti-codon, and T loops). RNAcentral also lists the same sequence under 7 other names. Lineage: Bacteria; Pseudomonadati; Pseudomonadota; Gammaproteobacteria; Pseudomonadales; Pseudomonadaceae. The record is from RNAcentral.
GCUGAAAUAGGCUAGUGGUAAACCAUACGAUUCAUACUUGUAAUUCGAGGGUUCAAUUCCCUCUUUCAGCU